RNAcentral lists this ribosomal RNA (569 nucleotides) under uncultured Gammaproteobacteria bacterium. RNAcentral describes it as "bacterial SSU rRNA". It matches the Rfam family "Bacterial small subunit ribosomal RNA", at positions 812 to 1381 of the family's 1533-position model. The record is from RNAcentral. Lineage: Bacteria; Pseudomonadati; Pseudomonadota; Gammaproteobacteria.
UCGAUUUGGAGUUUGUUGCCUAGAGUGAUGGGCUCCGAAGCUAACGCGAUAAAUCGACCGCCUGGGGAGUACGGCCGCAAGGUUAAAACUCAAAUGAAUUGACGGGGGCCCGCACAAGCGGUGGAGCAUGUGGUUUAAUUCGAUGCAACGCGAAGAACCUUACCUGGUCUUGACAUCCACAGAAUCUUUCAGAGAUGAGGGAGUGCCUUCGGGAACUGUGAGACAGGUGCUGCAUGGCUGUCGUCAGCUCGUGUUGUGAAAUGUUGGGUUAAGUCCCGCAACGAGCGCAACCCUUAUCCUUUGUUGCCAGCGAUUAGGUCGGGAACUCAAAGGAGACUGCCGUUGAUAAAACGGAGGAAGGUGGGGACGACGUCAAGUCAUCAUGGCCCUUACGACCAGGGCUACACACGUGCUACAAUGGCGUAUACAAAGGGAAGCGAAGGUGCGAGCUGGAGCGGACCUCCUAAAGUACGUCUAAGUCCGGAUUGGAGUCUGCAACUCGACUCCAUGAAGUCGGAAUCGCUAGUAAUCGUGAAUCAGAAUGUCACGGUGAAUACGUUCCCGGGCCU